GUGGGGAAUAUUGGACAAUGGGCGAAAGCCUGAUCCAGCCAUGCCGCGUGUGUGAAGAAGGUCUUCGGAUUGUAAAGCACUUUAAGUUGGGAGGAAGGGCAGUAAGUUAAUACCUUGCUGUUUUGACGUUACCGACAGAAUAAGCACCGGCUAACUUCGUGCCAGCAGCCGCGGUAAUACGAAGGGUGCAAGCGUUAAUCGGAAUUACUGGGCGUAAAGCGCGCGUAGGUGGUUUUGUAAGUUGGAGGUGAAAUCCCCGGGCUCAACCUGGGAACUGCCUCCAAAACUGCAUGACUGGAGUACGGUAGAGGGUAGUGGAAUUUCCUGUGUAGCGGUGAAAUGCGUAGAUAUAGGAAGGAACACCAGUGGCGAAGGCGACUACCUGGACUGAUACUGACACUGAGGUGCGAAAGCGUGGGGAGCAAACAGGAUUAGAUACCCGGGUAGUCC
RNAcentral lists this ribosomal RNA (450 nucleotides) under uncultured bacterium. RNAcentral describes it as "partial 16S ribosomal RNA". It matches the Rfam family "Bacterial small subunit ribosomal RNA", at positions 354 to 796 of the family's 1533-position model. The record is from RNAcentral.